This 219-nucleotide ribosomal RNA is filed under the name Parasitus fimetorum. RNAcentral's name for it is "partial large subunit ribosomal RNA". Lineage: Eukaryota; Metazoa; Arthropoda; Arachnida; Mesostigmata; Parasitidae. The record is from RNAcentral.
GGGACAAGAAGACCCUAUGAAUCUUUAAUAUUUUUUGUUAAUUAUAAUAAUUUAAAUACUUAUUUUAAUGAUAAUAUUUUGGUUGGGGCGACAGUAAAAGAUUAAGAAUCUUUUAUUAGAUCCGUUAUAAUCGAUUAAAAGAAUAAGAUACUCUAGGGAUAACAGCGUUAUUAUUUUGGAUAGUUCAUAUUGGUAAAAUAGUUUGCGACCUCGAUGUUG